Astatotilapia calliptera (eastern happy) is the source of this 1166-nucleotide long non-coding RNA. The record is from Ensembl. Lineage: Eukaryota; Metazoa; Chordata; Actinopteri; Cichliformes; Cichlidae.
CACUAACGAGUCACAUGACAACUGGGAAGAAAAAUGGCUAACUGGGCACAAUUUGGACAUUUUCUUUUAGGGGUGUACUCACUUUAGUUGCCAGUGGUUCAGACAUUAAUGGCUUUGUGUUAAGUUAUUUUGAGGGGAAAGCAAAUUUAUACUCUUAUACAAGCUGUACACUGAUUAAAUGACAUGUUUUAAAGUGUCAUAUCUUCAAUGUUGUCUCAUGAAACGAUGUAAUGAAAUAUUUACAAAAAAAGGGAGGCGUGUACUGUACUCACUUUAGUGAGAUAGUGUAUGUUUUAUCCUCUAAAUACCCAGCUAAUAAGACACUGAGAAAUACAGAAAAUAAACACUUCCAUGUAAAUGUGUGUCUCAAUUAUUUCUGCAACAAAUUUUAUUGAAAAGGCAAAGAAGCAGAGCAUUAAGGUGUUGCCUGAAAUAUAUCGGAAAUUUUGCAGAGCUGAAAAUGAAAAUAUACUCGCAAACACCAGUGCUACCCCUCAAUGUCCUACGAGAUGCACAUAGGGUAUCAAUUUGAUGAUCUUACAUAGCCUUGUUCUCGACUUAUCACAUUCAAAAGAUUUUCAGAAAAAAAAUUUAAAAAUUAAAAAAAAAAAGAAUUAAAAAAAAAAAAAAAUUCAAAUUCACAGAGAUUUAUACUUGUCUAAUUUUUAGUAGAUGCACCUAUGGUGUAAAUUUGAAAAUCAUACCUUGCCUCAUUCUCAAGUUGUGACAUUCACAAACUUGGAUGUCCACCCCACCCUCCCAUCAGGGUGACAAUACCCUGUAAACCUUUUACAGCUGAAGAGUAAAAAAAAACCCUUCAUGAUAGUGUAAGGGAAAAGAAAAAAAAAAUCCCUUUUUGGACAGGUGGUGGCGUGGGGGAGAACCACAACAAUGCUUCGUCCCCUUUAGUGACGCAAGCUUGUGGGCAACAUAUAGUAAAAACAAUGGACUAAUGUCAAAUUUGUAACAGAUACCUGACUCAAAUCAGGGAAAAGUCAGCAAAGCCACUAUCUGACUCUAUGCUGCGGUGGCCUGUGGUAACAACUUAAACAAAUGUCUCCAGUGACAUCAAUACAAUCACGGAAACCAAAAUUUUUUAUUUCCUUUUCAUUCUUUCUGUGUGGUGAGAUAUGGUGCAACUUCGGUCAGUAUGCAAUUUUAACAAC